GUGGUGAACCAGCGGAGGGAUCAUUA
RNAcentral lists this ribosomal RNA (26 nucleotides) under Pestalotiopsis microspora. Its description in RNAcentral is "partial 18S ribosomal RNA". Lineage: Eukaryota; Fungi; Ascomycota; Sordariomycetes; Amphisphaeriales; Sporocadaceae. The record is from RNAcentral.